GACGAACGCUGGCGGCGUGCUUAACACAUGCAAGUCGAACGGUAAGGCCCUUCGGGGUACACGAGUGGCGAACGGGUGAGUAACACGUGGGUGAUCUGCCCUGCACUUCGGGAUAAGCCUGGGAAACUGGGUCUAAUACCGGAUAGGACCACUGCCUGCAUGGGUGGUGGUGGAAAGCUUUUGCGGUGUGGGAUGGGCCCGCGGCCUAUCAGCUUGUUGGUGGGGUGAUGGCCUACCAGGGCGACGACGGGUAGCCGGCCUGAGAGGGUGACCGGCCACACUGGGACUGAGAUACGGCCCAGACUCGUACGGGAGGCAGCAGUGGGGAAUAUUGCACAAUGGGCGCAAGCCUGAUGCAGUGACGCCGCGUGAGGGAUGACGGCCUUCGGGUUGUAAACCUCUUUCAGCACCGACGAAGCGCAAGUGACGGUAGGUGCAGAAGAAGGACCGGCCAACUACGUGCCAGCCGCCGCCGUAA
Molecule: ribosomal RNA, 478 nt
Filed under: uncultured bacterium
Lineage: Bacteria
Description: partial 16S ribosomal RNA
Rfam family: Bacterial small subunit ribosomal RNA
Source: RNAcentral